GUUGUAAUCUAGAGAAGCAUUAUCCGCGCUGGACCGUGUACAAGUCUCCUGGAAUGGAGCGUCAUAGAGGGUGAGAAUCCCGUCUUUGACACGGACUGCCAGGGCUUUUGUGAUGUGCUCUCAAA
RNAcentral lists this ribosomal RNA (125 nucleotides) under Laccaria sp. Its description in RNAcentral is "partial large subunit ribosomal RNA". Lineage: Eukaryota; Fungi; Basidiomycota; Agaricomycetes; Agaricales; Hydnangiaceae. The record is from RNAcentral.